Maylandia zebra (zebra mbuna) is the source of this 120-nucleotide ribosomal RNA. Lineage: Eukaryota; Metazoa; Chordata; Actinopteri; Cichliformes; Cichlidae. The record is from Ensembl.
AGCUUCGGCCAUAACCACCCUGAGCACGCCCGACUCGUCUGAUGUCGGAAGCUAAGCAGGGCUGGGCUUGGUUAGUACUUGGAUGGGAGACUCCCUGGGAAUACCUGGUGCUGUAAGCUU